This 254-nucleotide ribosomal RNA is filed under the name uncultured bacterium. Its description in RNAcentral is "partial 16S ribosomal RNA". It matches the Rfam family "Bacterial small subunit ribosomal RNA", at positions 524 to 776 of the family's 1533-position model. The record is from RNAcentral.
CACGUAGGGGGCAAGCGUUGUCCGGAUUUAUUGGGCGUAAAGAGCUCGUAGGCGGUUCGGUAAGUCGGGUGUGAAACCUCCAGGCUCAACCUAGAGUCGCCACUCGAUACUGCUGUGACUAGAGUCCGGUAGGGGAGCGUGGAAUUCCUGGUGUAGCGGUGAAAUGCGCAGAUAUCAGGAGGAACACCAGCGGCGAAGGCGGCGCUCUGGGCCGGAACUGACGCUGAGGAGCGAAAGCAUGGGGAGCGAACAGG